This 7975-nucleotide long non-coding RNA is filed under the name Musa acuminata (dwarf banana). RNAcentral describes it as "long non-coding RNA (MACU_LNC003505)". The record is from RNAcentral. Lineage: Eukaryota; Viridiplantae; Streptophyta; Magnoliopsida; Zingiberales; Musaceae.
UGGUAUCGUCUAGCACAGAUGGUGGUUCCAUCAGUACCCUGAAAACCUAGGAUAAGACUUUUUCUGGCUCCAUUUUUUAAGUCAUUUUGGGUCUAUAAAUGUCCUAGUUAUUUUUGCUUGAGUAAGCAAGAAAAAGAGUAGAAAUGAGAAAAGAAUACUUGAGAUAAAAGUGUGUAAACUUUGUUAAAAAGUUGAGUUUCAUUCUCUUUGAACUUAGAGAUUAUUCUAAGGGAGUUGUGUGAGGGUUACCUUAUAAAAGAGGGGUAUAAAGAUUUUCUUCAAAAGAAGAAAGAGUUAUAACGGGUGUAGUUGGUCUUCGCUCGUUGAAAAAAGAUUAUUAGUGAACACCGGUAGCCUCGACGGAAGAGAAAUCGAGAGUGGAUGUAAGUUGGGAUGACCGAACCACUAUAAAAUCGAUUUGUAUUUACUUUAUGCUCUUCAUUGCUAUUGUUUUUUGCUAUUGUUUUAUGAUUUAAUUGCUUAUUACACUUACUCUAAGUCAAGCACAAUAUCAAUAUUAGUUUUUAUCGAACAAAAAUUUUAAACCUAGAUUUUUAUGAAAUUACUAAUUCACACACACACAAAUAUAUAUAGGUAAAUUUUUGAAAUUUUUUAUUUUUUAGAAACGCUCUUUAUUUUUAAAAUUCUCUACUCAUUUUUAUCUAAUAUCUAAAAUAUUAUUUUUUUUAAAAUAGAUCGGCUCAAUUAUAAUAUUUUUAUAUUGUAUUAUGAUGUUUUUAAUUAUAUUAAAAAAUAUUAACUCAUUAUGUUCAUAGAAUUUUCACACUGCAUUACUAUGUUUGUAAUAAUACUAGCAAAACACUAUAAUAGUGUGAAUAUUAUAUUUAAUAAUAAUAGAAAAUAUUAUGACAUAAUAUAAAAAUACUGUAAUAUAGAAUUUUCGUUCACUGUAAUAGUUCACAUUUAAAAAAGAAAGAAAAAAAGAGAUAAAUGAAGGAAAUUGGGGGAACUCAAAUGUAAGCUGUGCAUGAUUGAUGGAAAUGAAGACUAACACGAUGUUACUUCGUCAUUCUUUUAUCCUUCUGCUUGAAGUGGUGAGUACAAAGAUUGGCCGCGAUAGAAAGAUGACAUGACUGAUCAAACUUGUUAUGAUUGCCUUCUCGACAUGGCAAAAUUAUUUCUUUAAUACACAAGUAGUAAGAUUCAUAUCUUAGCGAAGUCUUGUGCAUCGAAUAUGAUAAUGUCCAUAAUAAAUUACUUUGCAAUAUGGAGUAACAAGAUUUUGAGGCAUGAAAUCUACUCUCAUUUAGAGAUAUAAUCAACUCUAAAUUUUGUAUUGAUGGUAAUCUUAUUUACUAUAUUUUUAUUUUAUAAAAAAUCAUGAAAAUUUUAUUAUCUUCCGAAUCUUUUAGAUUAUAUUCCUCAUUUUCAAAGUGCACAAAGAAAGCUCAUUUUUUUAAGAUGAUAAAAAUGUUUUCACUUAUUAUUGAUAACUUUAAUUUUUAAGUUUUUCAACUGAUAAGGAAUUUAUUAACGGUUGACAUAUGAUCGUCAUGCAAGAUUCAUGUAAUCCGCUUAUAGAAGAUUAUAAUAUAAAAAUAUAAGCUUUCUUCUUGUUCAUUAUAAUAAGAAAGAGAAAUGUAAAUGCUCUAUCCUUCUAUAAUAAGAAUAGUAAUCCUAAACUCCAUUCGCUUCCGAAGAUAUAAAAAUAUAUCAUAAAUAGAAAAAAGAUAACUUCUCGAGGAAAACUAUGGAUUGGGUUGAAAAACCCUACCCGACCUUGAUUGUUGUGCAUAUAUGAGUAUAAUAAUUCAAGCGUAAUAAUUUUAUCUUAGAUCUACCUUUAAGUUACGCUCAAAACCACCUCAAAUUCACCUCAAUAUUUUCACAUCAAAAAGACUAUGAACAUUCCUACAACUGAUAAGUCUAUACCACUAAUAAAAACAUCAAUUACAUUUUCCUUUAACACCAACCAAACUCAUUUAAAUUGAACUAUCAAACCAACUUGGUAUUAAAACGUAUUGCUUAUAGUAUUUUGAAUAUAAUUAGUGUUUUUGGUUUAAACGAAUCAAUUUAUUUUUUUAAAUAGGGUUAUAGUGUUUUUUUAUGAUUGAACUUUACUCAUCAUAAUCAUAUUAAAAAUAUAUAUAUAACUCAGUCUUAGUUAAUUCAAAAUUUCACAAAUAUCGAUUAUUAAUUUUAUUAUAUUUAUUAAAAGUAGCAUAAAAUUUUAGAGUUCUUAAAUAUUUUUGAAUGAAAAAUUACAAUAUUUUGACAUAUUUCAAAAAAUGAUAAAUUUUUAUUUUUUUAUGUAACCUUAAAUUUAAGUCUAUAAUUUUUAAAAUAUUUUAGAUUGCUUACUUCAUUUAUUAAAAAAUAAUAACAGAAAAAUCACAUUUAGAAUGCUUUUGAAUGCACUUACAUUGUUUUUGUCACUGUAUUGAGAUAAUAUAACUCUAAUAAAAGUCGCUGUAAUUAAUUUUCAAUUAUUUGAAGUUUUCACUAACAAUAUAUAUUAGCUUUAUUGUAUGUUUAAAGGUGUUAUAAAAUUAUUAAUAUAAAAAUUUAAAUGAUUUUGGAUGAAAAUUAAAAUAGUCUCGACAUUUUUCUCUUUUUCUUAAAUUAAGGUCUUGAAAAUUAAGAAUUCUAUUUUCCCCACUUAUUCUUAAAUUUAGGUCUAAAUAUUAAAAAAUAUAUUAUAAUAUAUAGAGUCAUUAUAAUGAAUGAAUAAUAAUAAUAAAUGAGUUAUUAUUCAAUUAUAGUAUUUUUGAUUCAGUAAUAAAAAAUAUUAUAUUAACUGAACCUUUUUCAGGUUUCUCGGUAUUCGAGCCCGAUCCGACCCGAGCCGUUGACCGAACCCGGUCUGGUUCAUAACUUGCCCGAGUCGGACCGAGUUCUCUGCUUCUUGGUUGCCUGGUAUACGUGGAGCCACAGAAAUGGAAUACGAGGGUGAAGGAGAGGGGGAAGGGAAGCGAAGCCAAAUCGAGCGGCGACUGGAAUCGUUCUCACGGGAACAAAAGGAUGGAGGGAAAAGGAGAGGCGAAAAGUAACAGAAGGGAGCCCAUCAAGAGGCGGCACGGCUCCACUGCCUUCUUCGUGCUGCUGGAUUGCCUCUUCCUCCUCAUCUUCUUCUGCUUCCUCUGCUACUUCCUCCUCAAGAUCUGGCCCGGAUCAAAGCCCUAACCCCAACGAAAGGACCCGCAUUUUGUUGAUCCUGAAACCAAUCUAUUCUAUUCUAUUCUAUUCAUUCUAACGUCGGUAAUCUCAUUUUAUCCCCGAUGUUUUUGUUUCAAGUAUUAAAUUCGUACCACGGCAAUCAUCUUACGAUCUGUUCCAGAAAAAAAUUGCUUUUAAUUUCCCUUUUAUUGUUUGUUGGUUUGAAGCCGUUGUUGCUUUGAAAUCUGGCUGCCAGUUUAUACUAUAUGAUUUUUAUUGCAGAGGAUUGCUUGGAUGCAUUGUUCAUAUUACUGCUAAUUUCUGUGGGACUGUGGCUGUUUGGUUCACCAACUGUUUAUGUGAAAUAAUUCUUCAUCCAUCUUUGCCAUGAUAUGAAAAUGAGUGAAAGGAAUUAUAUGAAGAUUUAUGCUUUUCGUAUUUGCUCAUCUUCAUGUUAAAGGUUACGUGACUUUUGAUCUAGUGUGAGGGAGAUAUAAGCAUCCGUAUCAUAUGACAUCAUUGGGAACUUAAGCAUGUAGUUCUUGAUUCGGUAUAAUCUGCUGUGUCAUUUUUGAAACUUAGGCAUCACAAUUGGAUCUGAUUGUAAGAUCUUAUUUUGACUAUUGUUUUCUACAAGGAAAAGAAAGGACGAUGCUAGGGUACAUAGAGUUGAAAUUUCAUCCUGUCAUUCCUGAUGAAUGUGGUAUUAAGAUCAAGUUAUUUCUCCUUCAAAAGUGAGGACCAAAGGAUGAGGGCACUUUACUGCAAUUGAUAUUACCAGGAGCUUUUAACAACUGCACCUAAUAUAAUGAUUUUAGAUUCGAAUGAUUGGAUUAUUUUCUAGAUGAGUGGUGGUUCGCAUCAGAUGAUUCACCAUCUGAUUCACAGGAGGAAAAAAGAAUUGUUACUGCCCUCUUUCUCUAUCAUGAUCGAUAUGUUUCAGCAAUAUGGUUUUAUUAGGAAGAUAAGUUUGAAUGUGAAUAUUUGAGCUUUUCACCAAAUCAUCCAAAGCUAAGGAGCAGAGUCUUUGGUGCGGGGAAGAUGUUCUAAGUUGAAUGGUAGAGACCUUUACAGCUGCUAAAGAUGAAAUGGAGUGCUUGAAUCCAUUUGUAGGACUGCUUACGCAGAGGAAUACGGACAUUGGUUGAUGCCUUUAGAAUAAAGAUGUGAAUGAAGUUGCAUCAAAGCAUAUGCUGUAAAAGCAGCAUGAUCUGAUCAUGUAACUUAUGACCAGAGAAUUAAGAUCUUAAUACCAAAUUCUAGUGCUUUGUUUUCUGGCUCAACAGAGAAGUGCAAUAAAAGAAACGAUGACAAAGAAUAAUACUACUCUGUCCGUCCAUAAAUUUUUGGCUCAUCCAUCUGCAAUUGCUAAAAAAGAAUUAACUUUUUUCUUUGUUUUGUUGGUUGUCAAGUGUAGAAGAUCAAGAAUUCAGAUGCUGGAGUAACAAUCUGCAGUCUGCAGGUCUUGUCAUUUAAAUCAUGGAUUGAAAAUAAGACAUUAUAUGUGGGUGACGCAAAAUAGAAUGCCAUUUCAUGUGGCUUCGCGUAUCAGUGCUCAAUCCAAAUUAUCACGUUGCAGGACUCGAAAGUUCAUUAGGUUUAGGGUUUACCGUCUCCGUCGUCGCUCGACCAUCCACAGAGACCGAGGCGCCGGCGGUCGAAGCACCGGAGGUGAAGAGUUGAAGGCAGCUGUUCCUGCCGUCAUCGCCGCAGAGGAGGUCUUAAUCUGGGCCGUCCCGGAGGAGCCAAACUGUCCACUUCAAGUUCCUCCGCGCCCGGGACUUCAAGGUGAAGGAAACCAUGACCAUGCUCAAGAACGCUCUGCUCUGGAGGAAGGAGUUCGGCGUCGGGAGCCUACUUCUCGGGGUCCCCGAGCUCAGCGACGACGUCGCUCUUGGCCACCGCCGCCUCCUGCGCGGCGACCUUCUCCUCUCCGGCCUCCGCCGCGGACUCGGCGGCCAGCGGCUCUCCCAAAGCUGGCUUCUUUGUUGUUUUCUGCGCCUAAGGGACAGGAUCGGUCGGCGGAAGCCGUUCGUCGAUUCUUUCUCCGUCGCCGCCGGCUCCGUUUCGGCGGGGUCCCCUUCUGGUGUGUCGGGUUUGGUGUCCAAGGCCAUGGUCUUGGGUUGGGUCAGGUGAGAGAGAGAGAGAGACGCCCAGCCCAUCCUCUCGUAAUCCCACGUUAAGCACGAGAGUCGCACGUGUCCUUCCCCGACCCCUAAUUCCUUCAAACCGGUUCUCUCGACCUCCACUCCCCGCCGGAGUCGCCGCCGCUCCUCCGCCGGUGUGCCACCACGCUGGAGAACAUAGCGAACCCGAUGAGCGCCGGAGCUCCGCUGGGUUCCGCCUUCCCGCGUCGGCAUCAGACCUAAGAGAAAGCCCGCACUGGUCUUGGUCCUCUCUACCUUUCUCACUUUCUAAUUUCUUCUCCCAUGAUAUUCUUCUCUUUUUCUAGUUCGUGUUCUUUGAUUUGGUAUAGACGAUAUAUAUGAAGACACUCGGGAGUUCCCACAACAAGGUAAGAUUUUUCAUGUGCCUUAGGUUUUUGACCUUUUCUCAUUAAAACAGAUGCAAGAGAUGCCAAAGAAGUAGAAUUUGGGAGCUAAUUGUCAAAAUCCCGUAUUUAUGGAACUUAGGUACUUGUUUGAUUUUAUUAUUUUUAUCAGUGAAAUGAUUAGGAAAUUCCGUGAUAAAGGUAAAUAGAAAACAGGUCUUGAAUUCCAUGUUCUUAUGAGAGCGUCGCUUGGUUUCUUUUGUGCUCAUUACAUUCAUCUUGGAUAAAUUGAACUUCUUGCGAAGCUAUUUUGACUGCCAUAUCAAGUCUAGCAUCUUAUUUAAUUUUUUCAUCAUAAACUUGAUUUGUGAUCUACUUGUUAGUAUAACGAAUUGAUAUAUAUGCUUUUAAUUUUCCUUAUGUUCUGUCCUGAUGACCAUCAAGUGAUUAUUUGUUCAACCCGUUCCUAUAGCUUGAGCUAACAAGCUUCAUUUAACAUUAAAAAAAUCCAUGUUUGUUGACACAAGAAUCACUGUUAUCAUGAUUCAAGUCAUCGUAUCACAUCAAGAUCUUCUUCAGGGGCAAUAGCACAGGAACCGGAUGUCUAGAUGAUGGUGACCUUCACCAACUUGCCCACUUUCUUUUUAUCACUUGGCUGUCUAAUCCAUCAAGAGAAUUGACUUUACAUGGGUUAAUCGAAUUAGCCUACUUGAUUUAGCUCAAUGCUGUCUGAUUCAAACUUAAGUAUAAAUCCAAUUAUCCUUUAGUACAAGCCGCCAUAUCCCAUUUAAUAAAAUGGGUACGGUAGUGUCUAAAUGAGACCCCUUAUAGUAUUUAGUGGACAUUUGCCCAGGGUUUGUUUGAAUACCUUGGUAAGUUAUGUGUGGCCACCCUUGUGCAAGCCUUGAGACCAACUCCUAACUCCUAAUUACAUUGAACUAAGUCAGAUGAUCUUGGUAACUGAUACCAGUACAGCUAUAGUGUUCGUUCCAAAACUGAUCACAAGGGCAACCUAUUGAAUCAGCAGGAUAUGCUUCCUGGAGAAAUUAGUUUCCAUCUAUGCAAACAUGUAUCUUGACUUAGACCAAACAGUAAGACUUAUCGUCCAUUUAGACUACUGUAGUAGGUAUGUCACUUGUACUUUUUGUUUCAUGCUGAACACAAUAUGUCUAGACGGCAGAUACACAAUUGAGAGUUGCUACUUGAAACAUGAUCAGGUAUCCAUCAAAUCUCAGAAAAGUUGAUGAAUUUUAAGCUUGAAAUUGUCUUCUAUGAUGCAUUGUCUGUUCAAUUCAGCCCUUAAAAAUUAGUAGUAAAUUAGUUGCCUUGGAUUGAAUUCUGCUAAGUGGAAUUGUUCUGAGCUUUUUUUCACCAGUGUAAUUUUGCUGUCGUGACAAAAGGUUUUCUAAGGAGUACAGUUUUCUUCCCGCUGGAGCAGAAAUCCUUGUUGCAGCUUCUGUCAUUGUAUUUAUUAUAUGGCUUUAUGCUUUGUUACAUUGAUCUUUCCAAAUGCCACUUGAUUCUCCUUUGAUCUAGAAAAUAUCAAUCACUUGAGAAAAAAAGAGGAUUAUAUUUGCAGCUUCCAACUUGUUGUGGAUGUGGCAAGAAAAUAUGAUGUGUUGCCAUUUGCAUAUAUUGGAAUGGUUUUUUUAUUUUUUACUUGUUUCCAUAAGACAUUUGUCUACAAGAGUUAACUGCUCUUUUUUUUUCGUAAUAAUAGUUCCAAAAACAAAAAGAAGUCAGAAGAGCUGUUUGACAAUAGAACCCCAGAAACAACUUCCUUAGUCAGACAAUAAAUUAAAACCUAAAAGAAGUGCAGGAAAUGAGGCAAUUUAGAGAGCUUUUGUAUAUUGAAGUAGGUGCAUAUGUUUCUGGCAGAAAUAAUAUAGCAAAGUGAGACAUUAUCUGCUGUUUGUUGUAUAGGACAAAUUGGUAUUCCAAAGAUAUAGUCAAGCAGACCAUAUUAUCUACAUGCUAUCAUAUAGCAGAAGACUAAAAGAAGGCCAUGCCUCAUACAAGUCCCCUUUAAACUUCUAGACACUAUCCUCAAGUCUAUAAGAGAGCAUAGUUUUAUUGUCAUGACUUGAGUUCAAUAACCAUGUCUGCUAAGAGCCCCAAAAAAUAUUUAAAGUCAUUCUUUACAGUGGAUAGUGACUCAGAUACUUGUUGAAACCUUGUCCACUGAUCUCAUCCAAGGUAUUACAAAUCCAAACUAUAGUUUUGUAUUUUUCUUUAUAUAUAUAGGGCUAUCACAGAUGCAUCACUUUAUGCAUUGUAAUAGCCAUCCACUUCAAGUUGCAUCACUCCAUGCUUGUGUGUUGUUGCACUUCUAGAAGCUGAGCCACCUCCUCCACACACCCACACCCC